UUGUGCUAUUUUGUUUUGCCCGUAUCAGGAUCAACAGCUGGAGCUAUUGCCUUUAAUAUGUAAUGAUCUGAGCCCUGCAGCUGGUCAAAUGUUCUGGUACCAUCUAAGUUGUCUUGUGAAGAAGUGGAGGUGUUUUUGAAGAGCUGUGUAUCUUCUGCUGGAUGAUUUUGCUGCAUCUUUCUCUCAUCGUUUUGGACACUUUACUACUUGCAGAGAUUUCCACAGCCUCUCCCUGCAACUAAUCAGCUCAAGCAAUUUGAUAUGGCUCCUCCCAGGAAAGUUGAUCAUGAAGAGGUAGGAUGUACCUGCUGCGGUAAGUGGUACGCUCAUGAAUGAGGCAUCACGUUUUGGAUCUCCAGGACCCCAUAACGAAGGCCUCCGGUCUUGCCCCCUAUUAUUAAGCAAGUAAGUUUCAUGAAUUACCAUGUAAAGCAGGUAGAUGAGAUAAACUACUUCAGGUACAUUCUGGCUUAGAAAAAUCCACACCAGAGGUUUCAGUUCUUUUAGAAUCUGUAAAAUAAGAUGGGAUAUAUGUGGCUUUAUAACUGGAUUCUAUGUACUGUAUAAAGACUAUAUAUUGUUGAUUUUUCAACAGGAUUUUAAGUGUUAGUCUAGUUUGGUUUUCAGUCCCAGUCAUAACUCUGCUUUCUACUUGCCUUCUCCACCAACGCUCUUUGACAGGAAAUAUGAUCUCUGUCUUCCACUGACUUGGGACAGGAGUGAUGCUGGUGAAAAUCAAAACUGAUGGUUUUAUGGGCACAUCCUGACAGCUGUGUGGUUUGAACCAUCUGGGCACCCUCUUGAGUCCUGCCUUGUAAUACUUCCAGUACAACUCCUAGCUAACUUAAAUGGAUAAGCUGUUGACUCUUCUGAGCACUGCACACUGCAUCUAAGCUGAUCUUUAUUUCUCCUGGAGGGAAGCAAAGCCCCUGAGAGCUAAAAAUGUGGAAGAAGCCAGAGGAUUUAACUGUCAGAAUAACUGUGUGUCAUGCUUAACCUUAAGACUUGGGAAAGAAGAAAUGAUGGACUACUUCUUGUAUCUGGGAAAAUCCCUGGAGCUACUGGCAGCUUUCAGCAAUUCAGAAGGGCAGAUCUAAGCAAACCAAAGAAAAACAACUGAGUCACUGGGAAUAAAAGCAGUGAUUGGACCAACUGUUAUGAUAAGAUUUGAUGGAUCUGAUCAAACCCUCAAAACCAAUACUUAUCCUUCUGCAGUGGACAAUGUCUGAACCUCUAACAGAAGCAUUAAGGGAAGUGUGCCUCCCCUAAGGGACAAUGAGAAAAUAUUAUGUUGAUCCAUUUUUCUGGAUUUUAACCAAACUUCCCUACAGCAAAUACCUUGACAGAUGAGCACUAUUAGGCUAACCCUAUCUAAAAGAAGCAGAAAAAGGGAAUUUGUGGAGAGAGUUCUAUACCUGCGCCUGAAGAUCAAAAGUCAACAUGGAAAAACAGAGGUUCAGCAUGAAGUAUUGUGACUGUAGGCUUUCUAGAGCACCGCCCACUCGGAAGGCCAUCAUGCUUUCGCUCUGAAUGAGGAGGAUAGCACAGAUCACAUCGAAGGAGCCAACCAAGAGAAUAAGAAUGAAGCGGGCCUGAUAGGAAAGAAAAAUACAGAUGUGACUGGCUAUACUGAAACAGGGAUAAUCUUCAAAUCUCUUUUAACUGGAAAUAAUAGAACAAAUGAGUAAGGACAUCCAGGCUGCCUACUCUCUGCCUAGAGAAAUCUGAAGUAAGCAUUUUAAGUAUGUUACAACUAAACAUGGUAGUUUGUCAUACUGUUAACUGGCAAAGAUCUGAUCAUGAUUCUGGUCAUUUGAUGUAACCACUUGGUAAUAACUGUAAACUCAUAUUGGCUGCUUUUGCUUAUGUUACCCUCAAUAUAGUAGUUUUACAACUGUUAAGAGACAUAAUCUUGGCACUCUCUGUAAUAUCACUACAAUUUUUCGCAUGAUUUUGCUUGAGUUUGAAGAACAGUUUGAAGAAAUUGCUUUAACAGAGACUGGCUCUAAACUUCUUUUAUGGCAUAAAC
Long non-coding RNA from Rhea pennata, 2029 nucleotides. RefSeq lists it as uncharacterized. The record is from RefSeq and is a predicted model, not a curated record. Lineage: Eukaryota; Metazoa; Chordata; Aves; Rheiformes; Rheidae. The transcript is spliced from 4 exons.